ACUCCUACGGGAGGCAGCAGUGGGGAAUAUUGCACAAUGGGCGCAAGCCUGAUGCAGCCAUGCCGCGUGUAUGAAGAAGGCCUUCGGGUUGUAAAGUACUUUCAGCAGUGAGGAAGGUGGAGUCGUUAAUAGCGGCCUCAUUACGUUAGCUGCAGAAGAAGCAGCCGGCUAACUCCGUGCCAGCAGCCGCGGUAAUACGGAGGGUGCGAGCGUUAAUCGGAAUUACUGGGCG
This 232-nucleotide ribosomal RNA is filed under the name uncultured bacterium. Its description in RNAcentral is "partial 16S ribosomal RNA". It matches the Rfam family "Bacterial small subunit ribosomal RNA", at positions 335 to 560 of the family's 1533-position model. The record is from RNAcentral.